CUUGAUUUCAUGGGUCUCAGGGAAGCGAGGGUAGUGGGAGCUAAAAUGAGCUUCUGGACAUCUAUCCAUUAUUCCGUUCUUCUUGCAAUAUGGCAACCAUUGUUUUGCAAACUUAGCAGCUUCCAUGAAAGCAAACAGUGGAUCCGCCGUGCAUAUGAACACAUCCAUGGCCGGAUAUUUGGUCUCAUCCUUUGGGAGGUUUUCAGGGAAGGUUCUCCGGUGAACCGGAUUCAUUCUAAAGCCUUGGUGAGUGAACCACAUAAAAGCUAAGACGAUAUCAGCCACUAACAUGAGUACAGAGACGGUGGUGUUGGUGGUGUGGAAGAGGAUGGUGGUUUGGUGAUAAAGAAUGGCUACGAUGUUGCAUGCGUAUAUCAGUGCAAAUAUACGAUUGGGCCAUGUGCGACGGCAGGUCAACCGUGUGUGAAGUGGAGGGGGGUGGUUUUGCAUGGUGGUUCUUUGGCUUCCGGUGGCGCUCCGGCUACGUACCCAAUAUUAAUUACUUGAUUUUGAUUUGAUUGUAUAGGUUCUUUAAAUAUCGAAAUGUCAUCCUACUUAUAUUAAUUUAAAAUUGAGACCAAUAGGAAGAUAUUUUUACUUUAUAAUGAACUACGAUGUAAUAUGUAAGUUUUAGCAAAUGAGUUGCAUAGUUCAUACUAACAACUAUGCUGUUAUUUAAUACAUAAAUGUUUUAACCA
Lactuca sativa (garden lettuce) is the source of this 698-nucleotide long non-coding RNA. RefSeq lists it as uncharacterized. The record is from RefSeq and is a predicted model, not a curated record. NCBI's taxonomy places the organism in Eukaryota, Viridiplantae, Streptophyta, Magnoliopsida, Asterales, Asteraceae.